RNAcentral lists this ribosomal RNA (400 nucleotides) under uncultured bacterium. Its description in RNAcentral is "bacterial SSU rRNA". It matches the Rfam family "Bacterial small subunit ribosomal RNA", at positions 30 to 476 of the family's 1533-position model. The record is from RNAcentral.
UGAACGCUGGCGGCGUGCUUAACACAUGCAAGUCGAACGAACCUUCGGGUUAGUGGCGGACGGGUGAGUAACGCGUGAGAAUCUGCCCUCAGGAGGGGGACAACAGCUGGAAACGGCUGCUAAUACCCCAUAUGCCGCGAGGUGAAAUGAAUUUCGCCUGAGGAUGAGCUCGCGUCUGAUUAGCUAGUUGGUGUAGGUAAUGGCUCACCAAGGCAUCGAUCAGUAGCUGGUCUGAGAGGAUGAUCAGCCACACUGGGACUGAGACACGGCCCAGACUCCUACGGGAGGCAGCAGUGGGGAAUUUUCCGCAAUGGGCGAAAGCCUGACGGAGCAACGCCGCGUGAGGGAUGAAGGCCUCUGGGCUGUAAACCUCUUUUAUCAAGGAAGAAGAUCUGACGGU